GACGAACGCUGGCGGCGUGCUUAACACAUGCAAGUCGAACGGAAAGGCCCUGCUUUUGUGGGGUGCUCGAGUGGCGAACGGGUGAGUAACACGUGAGUAACCUGCCCUUGACUUUGGGAUAACUUCAGGAAACUGGGGCUAAUACCGGAUAGGAGCUCCUGCUGCAUGGUGGGGGAUGGAAAGUUUCGGCGGUUGGGGAUGGACUCGCGGCUUAUCAGCUUGUUGGUGGGGUAGUGGCUUACCAAGGCUUUGACGGGUAGCCGGCCUGAGAGGGUGACCGGCCACAUUGGGACUGAGAUACGGCCCAGACUCCUACGGGAGGCAGCAGUGGGGAAUAUUGCACAAUGGGCGGAAGCCUGAUGCAGCAACGCCGCGUGCGGGAUGACGGCAUUCGGGUUGUAAACCGCUUUCGCCUGUGACGAAGCAUGAGGGAAGGUAAUGGGUAAAGAAGCACCGGCUAAAUACGUG
RNAcentral lists this ribosomal RNA (468 nucleotides) under uncultured bacterium. RNAcentral's name for it is "partial 16S ribosomal RNA". It matches the Rfam family "Bacterial small subunit ribosomal RNA", at positions 28 to 507 of the family's 1533-position model. The record is from RNAcentral.